GUCCUAGCUGUAAACGAUGAUUACUGGGUGUGGGGGGUCGAACCUCUGUGCCGAAGCUAACGCGAUAAGUAAUCCGCCUGGGGAGUACGUUCGCAAGAAUGAAACUCAAAGGAAUUGACGGGGACCCGCACAAGCGGUGGAGCAUGUGGUUUAAUUCGACGCAACGCGAGGAACCUUACCAGGUCUUGACAUCCAUUUAAUGUUUUGGAGACAAGAUAGUGCCGGCUUGCCGGAAAAAUGAGACAGGUGGUGCAUGGCUGUCGU
RNAcentral lists this ribosomal RNA (264 nucleotides) under uncultured bacterium. RNAcentral describes it as "partial 16S ribosomal RNA". It matches the Rfam family "Bacterial small subunit ribosomal RNA", at positions 793 to 1055 of the family's 1533-position model. The record is from RNAcentral.